RNAcentral lists this ribosomal RNA (237 nucleotides) under uncultured bacterium. RNAcentral describes it as "partial 16S ribosomal RNA". It matches the Rfam family "Bacterial small subunit ribosomal RNA", at positions 67 to 334 of the family's 1533-position model. The record is from RNAcentral.
CGCUCCGCAAGGAGAGUGGCAGACGGGCGAGUAACGCGUGGGAACCUUCCUAUUGGUUCGGAAUAGCUCAGGGAAACUUGGGGUAAUACCGGAUACGCCCUACGGGGGAAAGAUUUAUCGCCGAUAGAUGGGCCCGCGUCUGAUUAGCUAGUUGGUGAGGUAAUGGCUCACCAAGGCGACGAUCAGUAGCUGGUUUGAGAGAAUGACCAGCCACACUGGGACUGAGACACGGCCCAG